ACUUAUAUAGCUUAUUAAAUUAGAGCAUUGUAUUGAAGCUACAAAGGAGAUUAUUAUAAUCUGUGAGUA
RNAcentral lists this transfer RNA (69 nucleotides) under Acetes chinensis (northern mauxia shrimp). RNAcentral's name for it is "tRNA-Phe". The record is from RNAcentral. Lineage: Eukaryota; Metazoa; Arthropoda; Malacostraca; Decapoda; Sergestidae.